UCCAGCUUUGUGCCUGAUCGCUGUCUCCACGGCCGCGUCCGGGGGCAGCUUUUAACCCGGGCUGGUCUUCGGGGAAGAGCAGCGUGUCCCCCGGACCCAGCGCGCCUCUGGGCCUCAGCGGCGAGAGGGCCCGGGGCGGGGGGCCUGCGGGUGUCGGGCGGCGCGUCGGGCAGCCCACGCGGGCGGGGCGGGCCCGCCGCUCGGGCCUGGGCGUCGGUCGCCGGUGGGGCCGGAGCCCGGCGCGGAGCCCCGCGCGGAGCCCCUGGCAGGACAGUGAGCAGAGCAGCACUCCCAUAUUGACGACUUACGAAUGCAGUGUGCUUAAGGUCCUGAGAGUCGAGGAGCUCUGAGGUGGAGACUGACACUCUACCUGACGCACUGCCAAAGUCCAAGCCACGGGACGUUAAGGAUAGUAGUUGACGGUGACGCUGAAGCUGCUGGUCCGUGGACCACACACUUUGAGCAGCAAGGAUGUGGAUCACUGGAUUGAAGGAGACCGUGCUCUGCGCCCUGCUCUCCACAGCAAACUGGGCUGCUUCUGAGUGAUCGCUUCCCUGUCCAGGCCUAUAAAAUAGCAGACUGGACUAGAAGAUCUCUAAGAUUCCUUUCAGAUCUAACAUGCUGUGAUUCUAGUCUGGUUACCCCUGUGACAGUUGAGUAAACUAUCCUUGCCCAGUGGCCAGUCUGGACUUGCACAUUUCUAAUAGUGGGGAAAUUACUGCAUGUAUAUAAGGCAUCCAUCCCGUUUCAUCUUGGAAUCUCUCAGUAAGGAACUUUUUCGUUUUGUUGAAAUACAUCUCUGCAGCUUCCAUACUUUUGGUCCUAGGUUAUCUGUUAGAAUUCAACAGAAAAGGAAAAUGCAAUCCUCAUUUAAAUAGGUGACUCUUAAAGUGUGAGAUGACGGUGUUUCUCCCUAGUUUCCCCAGACUGCAUUGUCCUUUACUCUUCCAUGAUGUUGUUCCAGAUCCCUCUCUUAAAUUUAGUCCUUCUGCAGUGUGGUGUAGUGGGGCUGUAGCUGGACUUUGAAGGGUGGGUGGGGCUUGCAAAACUGGGGAAAGCAUCCUGAGCAGCAGACGGUGGUGCAGAGAUGACACUGCAUUUGUCAGAUCCAGGAUUGUUUGAUUAAAGCAAGAAAUGGUAAGAUUUCUUACAGUGAGAUUGUAAGGUUACUUACAAUGAAAGACUUUGGGCAAAGCAGUAUUUUAGAGUGUGUGGUUGUCUUACUAUGGUGGGCAAUGUGGUUGGAAAUGGAGAAGCAGCAAGGCAGGGGGCCAGGUCUAUUUCAUCGAUCAGCAAAGAGGACUUAUGUUGAUGGUAACAGUAAUGCCUUAUAUUUAUGUGUGAGAUUUUACAGAUUACAGAAGGCAGUCUUUCUUGGGAGGUGGGCAGAGCAGCUGUGACCCCAUUUUGUAGAGGAGGCACCAAAGAGGGUAGAUGAUUUGCCUUAAUUUGCAAAGCUAUUGAGUGGCUGACCAAAGUGAAGACAGUGGUGAUGGAGGAGGAAGGAAGGAUGCGGGAGAAAUACCGAGGAAGAAGUGAUAAGUUGGGCCUGAUUGACCAGGAGGGUACAAAGGAAAAGAAGUGGUCAGGGAGGAGUCAGACUAGUUGGGAAAAUCGUAAGGCAGAAUUGCCAGCUGCUGUGGGUUGCACUCUGCCGGCUGUCCCAUUCGCUGGUGGCCGCCUGGAGUUACAGGUUGGGAGGGACCGCGGUGGAGGACUCCCUGGGUGUUCAGCCUGCCUACAGCCGGGGGUGCUGUGGGGGCUGGGGCUCUCUGUCCCACACCAAGGGCGUGGAAACUGGACCCUCAGUGUCCCCUGAGGAGGUGAGCGCUGAGCAGUUACCUGAUUCAAAUCUUAGGGUCCUUGCCAUCCUGGAGACACUGAAUUUGGUUUUAUAUAAUUUUUCUUUAGAGGUUCUGGCUAGUCCUGGUCGCCCUUGGCUGAUGGGCAGAUGGGCUGUCCAGUCUGACCUCCCCGCAUGCCUGCUUGUCUGAGGGCGUCACUGAAGCAGCGACUGGGCCCUUGUCCCUCCCAGAGCCUCACUGAAGCUCUUUUCCCAGAAGAUCUGCACUUCUCCUACGGCCUCGCGGUCUCCCUGUGCUCCUUUGACCCUGGAUGCGUGUGAACUUGAGUUUUAGUGUCGCUACCACCUUCCAGUCCCUGGCGCUGUCCCUGCAUUUGUGGUUUCUUAGGUGCCUCUGUGGGGACGACGGAGCGACAUGUGCGGGACUUCAUGUCCCUCACGGCGUCUCUGGGAAGCCUGUCAGAGCCAGCCUGUGCCCCAGAGCCUGGCGCGGUGCACGUCCAGGCUUCUGUUCAGCAUCGAGGGCUGUCUGUGCUCAGUGCUUAGGAGACUGCGAUGAGUAAAAUCUGUCUUCCCUGGAAGAAUUGAUGAUAAGUGAGACAACGUUUUAAAUAAACUGUGAUACUGCAGUGGAGAUAUUUCCAAAGAGCUACGGGAGGGCAGAGUGGGGAGUGACUAGCCCCAUGUGGAGACAUCAAAGGAAUCUUUGGGAAAGAGGUGAUAACUGAGUCGAGCCUUGAAGAUGAAGAGAGAAUGGACCUGGUGACGCUUGCAACAUUUGCAGAAGCCUAAGGGGGGUGGAUUCAGGUGGCUGGAAUAUAAGAGAACUUUGGGAUCAAAGGAGAGGCGAUUGAUGAGACUAGAUUCAUAAGGAGGCCAGGUUUUUAACGGCCUGUAGUUUAUGCUAAGAUUCAGUUUUGUGGGAGGGAAGCCACUGGAGGUUUUCAGGCAGGGAGGUGAUGUGAUUGUAUUUUGGGAAGCCAGUUGUGGAACUAGGCUGAAAGGGGAGAGUCUGGAUCAGGGACGCCAGGAAACUCUUGUAGUAACCUAGGCUUGGCUGGAGGCUGAGUUAAAGAUUAGGUCAGUGGGGGUGGGAAGGAGGGGGCGAGUCAGAGAGACUGCAGAGACAGAGUUAACCUGACGCAACGACUAGUUGUUGAGAACAGGAGACGGAGUUGUUGAGGAUGACUCGGUUUUCUAUUUUGGGUGGAUGGUGGUGCCAGUGGUAAAGGGGAAAUAUAGAAGAGGAAUGUUUUUUUCUCUUUUUUCUUUGGGGGGGUAAUUGGGUUUAUUUACUUUUGUAUUUGGAGGAGGGACUGGGGAUUGAACCUAGGACCUCCUGCAUGUUAAGCAUGCACUCUACCGCUGGAGCUAUACCCUUGCCUCUAGAAGAGGAGUGUUUCUGAGGGGGGAAGAUAGCACGUGUUUUGGAUCAUGUUGAAUUUGGGGGCUCUUUGGCACUUAGCAGACAGGUGGAAAUGUGGGUCUGGUUCAGAGGAGAGUCUGUGCUCUGGGGGUGGCAGGUGGAAGUGGUAGUCAGUGCUGUUGGAAUGGAUGAGCCCAGCCACGCUCAUCGAAGGCUGAGGAUGCCGGCAGAGAGGAGAGGGACUGGUGGGCAACGUGCGACAGAAUGUCGUCCAGGGGGCGACAGAGGAAGAAGUUGCAGGAGGAGAAUCAGCAGCCUGUGUUACUAUGGGAGGUCAGGCAGGAGGAGCUUGGAAGAUGCACCUUGAGACUGGGCAGUGAGGAGAGUGUGGUCACCGGGGCGCUUUUUAUGUCUU
Vicugna pacos (alpaca) is the source of this 3585-nucleotide non-coding RNA. The record is from RefSeq and is a predicted model, not a curated record. Lineage: Eukaryota; Metazoa; Chordata; Mammalia; Artiodactyla; Camelidae.